This is a non-coding RNA of Gasterosteus aculeatus aculeatus (three-spined stickleback), 377 nucleotides long. NCBI's taxonomy places the organism in Eukaryota, Metazoa, Chordata, Actinopteri, Perciformes, Gasterosteidae. The record is from RefSeq and is a predicted model, not a curated record.
AAUUGGAACAAGCUCCGAGGCCUCUCAUUGGCUCCUGGGAAUUGGAACAAUUGGAACAGAGAAGAAGGAUGUUGUGUGUAAAAGCAGGAAGAGCUUGUUUGGCGUUUGUGCAGAGCCAAAGGAUUUGUUCUCAACAAUUAAUCACUGCCGGCCCCUUUAAUGAGAACCCGGACUAUAUUACUGGAUGAUGGAUGGAGGAAACACAAGUUAUUGAGUGAUCAAUCAAAACACCUGGAGCAGAUAAAACCAUUAACACUCCUGUUGAUGUUGAUGAAGAUACCAAGCAGACACAUCCACACCAUGAAGAGGACAUAUCUGAUGCCUUCAAGAUCACUAAGAUCUUCUGACACCAUCUGUUGGUGAUUCCCAGAGUAAAU